CCUACGGGGUGCAGCAGUGGGGAAUAUUGCGCAAUGAGCGAAAGCCUGACGCAGCGACGCCGCGUGCAGGAUGAAGGUCUUCGGAUCGUAAACCUCUGUCAGCAGGGAAGAACGGUCACUGUACUAAUCAGCAGUGAAUUGACGGUACCUGCUAAGGAAGCACCGGCUAACUCCGUGCCAGCAGCCGCGGUAAUACGGAGGGUGCGAGCGUUAAUCGGAAUUAAUGGGCGUAAAGCGCUCGUAGGCGGUAUGUCAAGUCAAGGGUGAAAUCCCCGGGCUCAACGUGGGAACUGCCUUGGAUACUGGCAAACUAGAGUGUGUUAGAGGAUAGUGGAAUUCCAGGUGAAGGGGUGAAAUCCGUAGAUAUCUGGAGGAACACCAGUGGCGAAGGCGACUAUCUGGCACAUAACUGACGCUGAGGAGCGAAAGCGUGGGGAGCAAACAGGAUUAGAUACCCUAGUAGUC
RNAcentral lists this ribosomal RNA (465 nucleotides) under uncultured bacterium. Its description in RNAcentral is "partial 16S ribosomal RNA". It matches the Rfam family "Bacterial small subunit ribosomal RNA", at positions 338 to 795 of the family's 1533-position model. The record is from RNAcentral.